GCAUCUUUAGCUUAAUUGGAAAAGCAUUGAUUUUCUAAAUCAAUAAAUAUAGGUUCGAGUCCUAUAAGAUGUA
Molecule: transfer RNA, 73 nt
Filed under: Plasmodiophora brassicae
Lineage: Eukaryota; Endomyxa; Phytomyxea; Plasmodiophorida; Plasmodiophoridae
Rfam family: tRNA
About the family: Transfer RNA (tRNA) molecules are approximately 80 nucleotides in length.
Source: RNAcentral